AUUGAACGCUGGCGGCAGGCCUAACACAUGCAAGUCGAGCGCGCGGCGGACGGGUGAGUAAUGUAUGGGGCUCUGCUCGAUAGAGGGGGAUAACUACUGGAAACGGUGGCUAAUCCCGCAUACCAGCGGCUGAACCCAUGUGGGAGUGUCUAGUAGGUGGGGGAAAGGUUCACCUAGGCGACGAUCUCUGGCUGAUCUGAGAGGAUGAUCAGCCACACUGGGACUGAGACACGGCCCAGACUCCUACGGGAGGCAGCAGUGGGGAAUCUUGCGCAAUGGGCGCAAGCCUGAUGCAGCCACGCCGCGUGUGUGAAGAAGGCCUUCGGGUCGUAAAGUACUUUCAGCGGGGAGGCGUUACCCGCAGAAGAAGCACCGGCUAACUCCGUGCCAGCAGCCGCGGUAAUAC
Molecule: ribosomal RNA, 406 nt
Filed under: uncultured bacterium
Lineage: Bacteria
Description: partial 16S ribosomal RNA
Rfam family: Bacterial small subunit ribosomal RNA
Source: RNAcentral